This 339-nucleotide long non-coding RNA is filed under the name Elaeis guineensis (African oil palm). RNAcentral's name for it is "long non-coding RNA (EGUI_LNC040846)". The record is from RNAcentral. Lineage: Eukaryota; Viridiplantae; Streptophyta; Magnoliopsida; Arecales; Arecaceae.
UUUCUCUUCGCAUGAUCCAGUUAUACAUGCUCAUAAGAAAGGAUCACUAAUAAGCUCUUCCAAUGCAAGCAAGAAGCUUGAGGGUGAGCUCUAGACUUACAAAGCAAAACAGAAAGCGUCUGACCUAGUGUACACUAGCUUCUUAGAUGGUUGCGGGAAGCUAUCUGGCUUUAGGCUACAAUGUAAAUUCUAGAAUUGCCUAAAUGACUUAUCAUAAUUGAAUAGUAGUUUAUUAAGCAUUUAGGACAGUUACAUGCAUUGGGACACUAUGUCAAUAGGGUCCUAGUUUGAAUAUUUUGGGGGACUAAGAUGGUUAUGCAGUGGGGAUUAUGUAAAGGA